RNAcentral lists this small RNA (109 nucleotides) under Marmota monax (woodchuck). Lineage: Eukaryota; Metazoa; Chordata; Mammalia; Rodentia; Sciuridae. The record is from RNAcentral.
GCCAAGUGCAGUGGCGCUCACCUGUAAUCCCAGCAGCUCAGGAGGCUGAGGCAGGCGGAUCGUGAAUUCAGAGCCAGGCCCUAAACAACUCAGCAAGACCCUGUCUCUA